CACGGGGGGGAGCAAGCGUUGUUCGGAAUCACUGGGCGUAAAGGGCGUGUAGGCGGUCAAGUAAGUGGAAUGUGAAAGCCCCCGGCUUACCCGGGGAUCUGCAUCCCAAACUGCUUGGCUUGAGUACGGGAGAGGAUAGGGGAAUUCCUGGUGUAGCGGUGAAAUGCGUAGAUAUCAGGAGGAACACCGGUGGCGAAGGCGCCUAUCUGGCCCGAUACUGACGCUGAGGCGCGAAAGCUAGGGGAGCAAACGGG
This 254-nucleotide ribosomal RNA is filed under the name uncultured bacterium. RNAcentral describes it as "partial 16S ribosomal RNA". It matches the Rfam family "Bacterial small subunit ribosomal RNA", at positions 524 to 776 of the family's 1533-position model. The record is from RNAcentral.